GACGAACGCUGGCGGCGUGCUUAACACAUGCAAGUCGAACGGAAAGGCCCUGCUUUUGUGGGGUGCUCGAGUGGCGAACGGGUGAGUAACACGUGAGUAACCUGCCCUUGACUUUGGGAUAACUUCAGGAAACUGGGGCUAAUACCGGAUAGGAGCUCCUGCUGCAUGGUGGGGGUUGGAAAGUUUCGGCGGUUGGGGAUGGACUCGCGGCUUAUCAGCUUGUUGGUGGGGUAGUGGCUUACCAAGGCUUUGACGGGUAGCCGGCCUGAGAGGGUGACCGGCCACAUUGGGACUGAGAUACGGCCCAGACUCCUACGGGAGGCAGCAGUGGGGAAUAUUGCGAAAUGGGCGGAAGCCUGAUGCAGCAACGCCGCGUGCGGGAUGACGGCCUUCGGGUUGUAAACCGCUUUCGCCUGUGACGAAGCGUGAGUGACGGUAAUGGGUAAAGAAGCACCGGCUAACUACGUG
RNAcentral lists this ribosomal RNA (468 nucleotides) under uncultured bacterium. RNAcentral describes it as "partial 16S ribosomal RNA". It matches the Rfam family "Bacterial small subunit ribosomal RNA", at positions 28 to 507 of the family's 1533-position model. The record is from RNAcentral.